AUUUUUUUUUUUUUUAUUAAUGGUCUGAUAGAUUUAUUUACUUGAAUUAUAAAAUUUCAUUUUAUUUCUGAUUGUGGAUUUAUGGUAAGGUCAUACCUUUGUUGAUUAGUGAAGUGUGUGUGUUCAUUUGAAAUCCUUCACAAAACCUUUCAAUUACAUAUUUAGGUAUAAACACUCUUCACUGGGAUUGAAAAGGAAUAUAAGACAUAUUUCACUUCUUCACUUUAUUUACUGCAGUAUCAAUACAAAUCAGCACAUUCUACUAAUGUGAUGAAACAGAAUCAUUGAGUGUACUUUAUUACAUUGAUCAGUAAGGCCCAUAAAAUGUGAAAUUUAGAUUAUCUCUAAAUUUAUCUCUCUUAUAUAAAAUUUAUCUCUCUUAUAUAAAAAUGCAAUGUGCCACUACAGUAUGUAAGCUAAUGGUUCCUUGACAGAAGCCCACAUGAAAAAAAUCCCACUUGAAAAUUCCCCAUGGCAAAAAGGUCACGGUGAUAAAUGCUCAGUUGAAAAAUACUCACACGGUAAAUUGUCAUCACAGAAAAAACAUUUACUUUUAUAUUUUAACAUAAAAUAAAGUCUAUAUUUUAC
Molecule: non-coding RNA, 588 nt
Organism: Pelobates cultripes (western spadefoot toad)
Lineage: Eukaryota; Metazoa; Chordata; Amphibia; Anura; Pelobatidae
Source: the annotation of a GenBank genome assembly